AUGCUCAGGGCUAUGCCCAACUAUUGCAAAAGCUCGGGGCUCACCAGCAUUGCUGCUGUCCUGCGGGUGCUGCGUGCAGGCAGCCAAGAGCUGGGCGGUUCAGCAAAGCAAACACAGAAUUGUAUGAAGCUUCAGGCACGUGCAGGGUGGGACAGAGAGAACGGAAAAGAGGUUUUCCAAACAACUCUGCUGAAACGCCAGCCUGCCCACGUGUACCACCACUGUUUACACAGCGACGCCUUUUGGAUCGGAGCAGUGUGGCUUACAAACAGCCCAGUUCUGGCAGCCCUGCCUGGAAAAUUCACUCAGGCACAGGCAACGUCCCAGCCAGCGUUUCAGGCAUUCCCUCACUUUCUAUGCAUUUCUCUCUUAUCUCACGUCCUGCAAGCAGCAAGCCUCAAGCAGCAGCACAGCUGCCCUUAUCACCCGCUACGAAACAUUGUUCCCAGGCACAGAAAUCUUCCAGGCCAACCAGUGCUGCCUUGGCCAGGAGCUGACGGCGCUCACCGGGCGGUCAGUUUCCGCAUAGGGAAGCUCAUGGCCAGAGACAUCCCAGGCUUUUGCUUCCUGCCACCGAACGCUGCAUGGGCAGCUUGCCAGGCCUGGGCUGGAUGUGCCUGCUCGCCAGCCAGCGUUCACCACGUGUUUGCUGGCCAUGAGCUUGAGCAAGGCUUUUCCCUUAGUGACAGAAGCAGCCAGAAACGGGACCAGCUUAGAACUGGAAAAAAAAAUACAGAAAAGAAAGCUCUGCUGGCCCAGGAGCCACCAACCUGGGAAUGCAGCAUGGCCUUGAGGAGCAUUCUUGAGCUGUUCACAGGAGAAACUCAGACACCUGGAGAGAUUCUCGGGAAGCACAGAACAAAGAAACUACAAAAAAGGUCCUACUGCCUGGGAAAGCACAAGUCAGAUUGGGAAACUGAAAACCGGCACGGGAAAACCAAAGUCUGCAACAGGAACUGGCCUCUCCACGUGGCAGUGCUUUCCAGCUGGGCCAAAAGAUUGAAAGACAACUCAGCAUCUACCCAAAAGAGAGCAUCUCAGAGAGAGAUGCCCCACAAGAACUUCUCCAUGUGA
This 1074-nucleotide long non-coding RNA is filed under the name Meleagris gallopavo (turkey). Its description in RNAcentral is "lncRNA (ENSMGAG00000018353.1)". The record is from RNAcentral. Lineage: Eukaryota; Metazoa; Chordata; Aves; Galliformes; Phasianidae.